Long non-coding RNA from Hippopotamus amphibius kiboko, 1388 nucleotides. RefSeq lists it as uncharacterized. The record is from RefSeq and is a predicted model, not a curated record. NCBI's taxonomy places the organism in Eukaryota, Metazoa, Chordata, Mammalia, Artiodactyla, Hippopotamidae. The transcript has 4 exons.
CAGCUACUGGCAUGAGCCACAGCUAGGCGGAGGAGAGCCCUGGCAUCUUUGCGCUGUGACUGUGAGCCAUGUUACGGUUUAUCUUGCAUUGGUUACAAAUUCUCUUCAGUCCGCCCUCUGCUUGGGCAAGCCCGUCCAGUCAUCUUGAAUUAUGAGUGACCCCCAAAUCUUUGUUUCCGGCCCAGAAAUCCCUCUCCUGAGCCAUCGACUCGCAGUCCAACCGUCACUGUCGAUUUGGAUUUCACUCAUUCAACAGAUAUUUAUUGCACGUCCUCCGUCUGCCUCGCAUUUGGGUUGGUGCUAACAGAUGCGGUGGUGAAUGGGAUAGGCAAGAUUCCUGCCUAGGGCACUCACAGCCUAGUGGAGGGAACGAAUCAGAUAAACACACGAGUCAUGCUAAUAAAUGUAAAAUCUCAAACUGAAAAGUGAUCUGGAGUUAUAACAACUUCAGAAAGAAAAUGGACUGGACUGGACUUGGGCUGAGCUCUAAAAUCUGAGUAGAGCUAACUGGGUGGAUGUGAGGGGAGAAGAACCUCUGGGAGCACUCCAGCGAGAACAGAAGCUGCAAAGGCUCUGGGUGGGAGGACGUGCUGGAGCAUCAAGAGAAGAAGGUGGAAAUUGGGGAGCAGAGGGCCAGCCAGGCCAGGACGGAGAUGGAGGAGGUGACACGGACAGAUCCACAAAGACAAGAAGGCCCUGCCUGAGAGACGGCCAGGCAGCCACCCAGAGGAGGAUGAGAGGGGUGUGCCGCCAGGCCGCCUGCUGCAGACAGUUCUGUGGACGUCGCUGCGGAGCCCACCAGCUGGGAGCCCCACGUGUAAGGCCCUCCAACACCCGACGGCACUAUUCGACCCAAGGCAGGGCCGGCAGGACACGCAGAUGAACGUAACCCCAAACUGCCGACCCACAAGUUGUGAGCGAAGAAAAUGGCUGUUUGGAGCCCUAAGAGCCCGGAGGGCCGGGAGCUUCUCUGGUCACUGAACAGAUGGAAAGUUGAACAAACAAACGAAAAGGUGGUCAAGCUCUGCGCGGACGGCCUCACCAGAGGCAGCACUCCCCAGGCCCUGGCUCUGCUCAGAGAGUUUUUAGUUCCGUACCACACCACAACCACGUGCAGGUGAGGCACGCGGGCACAGAGCCGAGGGGCUGAGGCGGCCUGGGCCCAGGGUCCACAACAGGAACGUGCACGAAUGGACUGGUGGGUGGAUGGGAUGGUGACUGAAUGGAUGGACGGAUGAAGAAGUAAAUGCCCUGGAGCCUGAAGAGAAGAGCUGACUUCUGGCCACUGAUGAGGACAGGGCUCUCCACCCGCUCACCCGCCCCACCUCCCUCCUGAGCCAGCGCCUCCCGCUCUGACCCCCAGGUGCAACCCUAGGGCAGACCUGGCU